CCUCCUUAUACGAUUUAGAACUUAUUUGUUCGUAGUGUCCACACAGAUGAUUGUUAGUUAGCUAAGCCACUGGCUUACCUAAUUAAUAUGCUCUUUAAAAAUUUGGAAAAGCUGAUAAUAAAAUUCGUAUAGAUAACAGUUGUUAUUUAUACAGAGUUUUCAAAAGUAAAAAAAUGCCAUUGAUUAUUCAAACGAAUAAUGAAUUGGUAUCUACUUUAGUAUUCAAUAUUAACUUCUGGCGAAGUUAAACUGUCACUAACAAAGACCCGUUUGGGUUGUAUGGUUAAGUGACUAAGCGUACACGGUGGAUGC
This 312-nucleotide unclassified non-coding RNA is filed under the name uncultured Pseudoalteromonas sp. RNAcentral describes it as "partial 16S-23S ribosomal RNA intergenic spacer". RNAcentral also lists the same sequence under 1 other name. Lineage: Bacteria; Pseudomonadati; Pseudomonadota; Gammaproteobacteria; Alteromonadales; Pseudoalteromonadaceae. The record is from RNAcentral.